GACGAACGCUGGCGGCGUGCUUAACACAUGCAAGUCGAACGCUGAAGCCUAGCUUUUGUUGGGUGGAUGAGUGGCGAACGGGUGAGUAACACGUGAGUAACCUGCCCCCUUCUUUGGGAUAACGCCCGGAAACGGGUGCUAAUACUGGAUAUUCACUGAUCUUCGCAUGGGGGUUGGUGGAAAGGUUUUUUCUGGUGGGGGAUGGGCUCGCGGCCUAUCAGCUUGUUGGUGGGGUGAUGGCCUACCAAGGCUUUGACGGGUAGCCGGCCUGAGAGGGUGACCGGUCACAUUGGGACUGAGAUACGGCCCAGACUCCUACGGGAGGCAGCAGUGGGGAAUAUUGCACAAUGGGCGAAAGCCUGAUGCAGCGACGCCGCGUGAGGGAUGGAGGCCUUCGGGUUGUAAACCUCUUUCGCUCAUGGUCAAGCCGCAACAUUGGUUGUGGUGAGGGUAGUGGGUAAAGAAGCGCCGGCUAACUACGUGCCAGCAGCCGCGGUAAUACGUAGGGCGCGAGCGUUGUCCGGAAUUAUUGGGCGUAAAGGGCUUGUAGGCGGUUGGUCGCGUCUGCCGUGAAAUCCUCUGGCUUAACUGGGGGCGUGCGGUGGGUACGGGCUGACUUGAGUGCCGUAGGGGAGACUGGAACUCCUGGUGUAGCGGUGGAAUGCUCAGAUAUC
Molecule: ribosomal RNA, 674 nt
Filed under: uncultured Actinomyces sp.
Lineage: Bacteria; Bacillati; Actinomycetota; Actinomycetes; Actinomycetales; Actinomycetaceae
Description: bacterial SSU rRNA
Rfam family: Bacterial small subunit ribosomal RNA
Source: RNAcentral